This 460-nucleotide ribosomal RNA is filed under the name uncultured bacterium. RNAcentral describes it as "partial 16S ribosomal RNA". It matches the Rfam family "Bacterial small subunit ribosomal RNA", at positions 338 to 795 of the family's 1533-position model. The record is from RNAcentral.
CCUACGGGAGGCUGCAGUGAGGAAUAUUGGUCAAUGGACGAGAGUCUGAACCAGCCAAGUAGCGUGAAGGAUGACUGCCCUAUGGGUUGUAAACUUCUUUUAUAAAGGAAUAAAACGAGGCACGUGUGCCUUUUUGCAUGUACUUUAUGAAUAAGGAUCGGCUAACUCCGUGCCAGCAGCCGCGGUAAUACGGAGGAUCCGAGCGUUAUCCGGAUUUAUUGGGUUUAAAGGGAGCGUAGAUGGGUUGUUAAGUCAGUUGUGAAAGUUUGCGGCUCAACCGUAAAAUUGCAAUUGAUACUGGCAGUCGUGAGUACAGUUGAGGUAGGCGGAAUUCGUGGGGUAGCGGUGAAAUGCUUAGAUAUCACGAAGAACCCCGAUUGCGAAGGCAGCUUACUAAACUGUGACUGACAUUGAUGCUCGAAAGUGUGGGUAUCAAACAGGAUUAGAUACCCUGGUAGUC